GUGAGUCAUCGAAUCUUUGAACGCACAUUGCGCCCCUCGGUAUUCCGGGGGGCAUGCCUGUUCGAGCGUCAUUACACCACUCAAGCCUAGCUUGGUCUUGGGCGUCGCGGUCCGCCGCGCGCCUUAAUGUCUCCGGCUGAGCCAUCUGUCUCGAAGCGUUGUGAUCUAUCAAAUCGCUUACGGGUAUGGGUGACUUGGGCCGUUAAACCCCCCAUUUUAAAGGUUGACCUCGGAUCAGGUAGGGAUACCCGCUGAACUUAAGCAUAUCAAUAAGCGGAGGA
This 281-nucleotide unclassified non-coding RNA is filed under the name fungal sp. RNAcentral's name for it is "partial contains 5.8S ribosomal RNA, internal transcribed spacer 2, and large subunit ribosomal RNA". The stretch from base 1 to 71 matches the Rfam family "5.8S ribosomal RNA", at positions 84 to 154 of the family's 154-position model. Lineage: Eukaryota; Fungi. The record is from RNAcentral.